This 230-nucleotide ribosomal RNA is filed under the name uncultured bacterium. RNAcentral's name for it is "partial 16S ribosomal RNA". It matches the Rfam family "Bacterial small subunit ribosomal RNA", at positions 118 to 350 of the family's 1533-position model. The record is from RNAcentral.
UGGGCAACCUGCCUUCAGCUCUGGGAUAACUCCGGGAAACCGGGGCUAAUACCGGAUAUGACCACUCCUGGCAUCUGGGGUGGUGGAAAGUUCUUCGGCUGAGGAUGGGCCCGCGGCCUAUCAGCUUGUUGGUGGGGUUACGGCCCACCAAGGCGACGACGGGUAGCCGGCCUGAGAGGGCGACCGGCCACACUGGGACUGAGACACGGCCCAGACUCCUACGGGAGGCA